ACCGGCAUUCACAUAUGUAUUUACAUCCACGUGGUACAUAAUAUAAGGUUUGAGAACAACACUACUUAAAAAUAUUUGUCUACAAGAAUUCAAAAUCAUAAAUACACUAGAUAUUUUGAUUUGCACAGGCAAUUACUUAAUUUCCAAACAUGUCAUCAUUACGGAGCCGCCACAAAUGUUCCAAAUGUGACAAGUAUUUUUCCACCAAUUUCGCUUUAUCCCAACAUAUUAAAAAUCAUGUAGACGAAACAGAAAUCUCCGACGAGGAGGAGGACGAAUUCGCUAAAACUGAAGUUGAGCUGAAAACGCCCAAAUUUCCAUGCACAGUUCCCCACUGUGGGGCAAAAUUAGGGUCAAAAACCGCCCUACAAGCCCACAUCAAAAGCGUCCACGUCGCCACGAGGAACUUUAAAUGUUCCAUUUGUUCCAAUGCCAACUUUUUCCGAAAUUUGCGCGAUCUGAACGUCCACAAAAAAAAAGUUCACGGUGCCAAGAAAUUCAAAUGCGCCCAGUGUCCCAGAGCGUUCACGAUGUCGUGCUCCUUAAAAAGCCAUGUCGACGUGGUCCACUCCACCGAGCGGGAUUUCGAGUGCACUAUUUGCGGAAAAAAAUUUAAGCAGAAAUCAACCCUAAAAAGUCACGUGGAUUCCGUACACUCGGAAACUUUGACCCUUUCGGAAUGUGACAUAUGCAAGAAAUUUUACAAAACGGCCUACGCCAUGAAAUCCCAUAAACAAAAUGUUCACCAAAAUGGCGAAUACAAAUGUGACCUUUGUCCCAAAACGUUUACGCGGAGGGAUACGAUGUCCCGACAUAAAAAUAUGGCACAUUUGACACCAUCGGGUUCCUCCGUUAAAUGCAGUUUUCCAAAGUGUGGAAAGGUGUUUGUGUUCGACUCCAGUAUGAAGGCGCACUAUAGGAGAGUUCAUGUAGGAGGAUGUGUGAAAAAAUUCCCCUGCUAUUUUUGCGAUAAAAUGUUCGAAUCUCCGGGGAACGUGGUGGAUCAUACGAGGUCACAUACGGGAGAGAGGCCCUUUAAAUGUGCGGUGUGUAAAAAAGAAUUUUCUACCUUGGGGCUUCUGACGAGACACGAGCCAACUCAUGUUCCUACUACGGAGAGGAAACAGUUCAAAUGUCCGCUUUGCUCACGAAGAAGUUUCUACAGCUUCGAUUUGAAAAAUCACAUGAGAAAGAUGCAUGGAUCGAGCAAAAGUAAAAUAAUUUCUGGUUCCAAGCCUGGACAAAGCGUGGCCGUACACGUGACGACACAUAUGAAGAAGAAGAUUUUUAAGGAUGAAAAGAAAAUCAGGUCGAAAGAGAAUAAAAAAGUAAGACUUGGCCAGAAGCGGACCCUUGGUCGCAGCGAUGCCAUACUGGACACAAAUGUUAGCAAAGGCUUUGUCCCCACGACUCCAAAUUCCGACAAAUUCUCACCUUUACCAUAUAUUAAGAUUGAGACCGAAACUUUGAGAGAAACUGACGAAACGGACGACGGGAUGGACAUCGUCCACAGUAUUUUCGUCGGUGGAAGCGACACUGUUUCCGAGCAGGGUGAAUCAAUGGCAAAGUAAUGACGACGACAUUGUCAAGUUAAUCUCUAUAAGUCUGAAUUAUGUAAAUGCUUUACAUACAUAUGUACUUUUUCAAGCUACACCGGGAUUGACUAAUGAUCAAUCCCGGUGUAGCUUGAAAAGAGGUUCCAUUGUAAGUGCAAAAUACAUAGUGUACGAAAAUAAUUUUGAUUCCAUUUCUCUCAAAAUAUGUAUUUACCAAGGAUGUACAAAUUUAAGCUCUAUUGUGUAUUGGCCCGAGCAUAAAGUGUCAAAAUAAACGGUUACCAUAUUACA
RNA transcript from Folsomia candida, 1847 nucleotides. It is a transcript of the gene named zinc finger protein 728, with no coding region annotated. Lineage: Eukaryota; Metazoa; Arthropoda; Collembola; Entomobryomorpha; Isotomidae. The record is from RefSeq and is a predicted model, not a curated record. The transcript is spliced from 6 exons.